RNAcentral lists this transfer RNA (76 nucleotides) under Microbacterium esteraromaticum. Its description in RNAcentral is "tRNA-Arg". It matches the Rfam family "tRNA". From Rfam's summary of the family: Transfer RNA (tRNA) molecules are approximately 80 nucleotides in length. Their secondary structure includes four short double-helical elements and three loops (D, anti-codon, and T loops). Further hydrogen bonds mediate the characteristic L-shaped molecular structure. tRNAs have two regions of fundamental functional importance: the anti-codon, which is responsible for specific mRNA codon recognition, and the 3' end, to which the tRNAs corresponding amino acid is attached (by aminoacyl-tRNA synthetases). tRNAs cope with the degeneracy of the genetic code in two manners: having more than one tRNA (with a specific anti-codon) for a particular amino acid; and 'wobble' base-pairing, i.e. permitting non-standard base-pairing at the 3rd anti-codon position. The record is from RNAcentral. Lineage: Bacteria; Bacillati; Actinomycetota; Actinomycetes; Micrococcales; Microbacteriaceae. RNAcentral also lists the same sequence under 2 other names.
CUCCUAAUAGCUCAAUGGACAGAGCACUAGCUUGCGGUGCUAGAGGUUAUAAGUUCGACUCUUAUUUAGGAGGCCA